This 375-nucleotide long non-coding RNA is filed under the name Gallus gallus (chicken). RNAcentral's name for it is "long non-coding RNA NONGGAT005609". The record is from RNAcentral. Lineage: Eukaryota; Metazoa; Chordata; Aves; Galliformes; Phasianidae.
CGAAAGGAGAGCCUCUAGAGAGCAUCAGAUCCUGCGAUGGGACCACUGCAAAAGAAGACAACGAUGGGGGUCUUCCUGCCAGAAAGCAAUGGAGAUGGCAGAGUGCACAGAAAUACCUGCUCCUCGCCGUGCUCUGCUCCUGAUCGGAUGCUUACUUCAUGAAAAUGGUUUCUAUUUCUCAUUCUGAAACAGAAGGGGCAUCCUCAUGGCCAGGCACUGGGAGCAAGAGGUGGAUGAGGAGAAGACAAACUACUUUGCCCAAUGUAGCUGAUGAGUUUACACAGUGAAAAAGCCACCUGUUCGUCUUUGACUCAUUCAACAAAGAAGUCACGUCAAAUACUAACUUGAAAAAUUCCUGGUAAGUGAUUAAGCCCU